Molecule: long non-coding RNA, 391 nt
Filed under: Equus caballus (horse)
Lineage: Eukaryota; Metazoa; Chordata; Mammalia; Perissodactyla; Equidae
Description: lncRNA (ENSECAG00000049997.1)
Source: RNAcentral
GGCUGAACCUCGCGUCACCCCGCUGAAGCGCGCGGCCAAGCGCUCCGGCGAGAGAAAGGCCUUUUUUGGUAACACUCAGCCCCGCGCAUCAGGAAUUAAUGGAGGACGUCGUGGAGUCCCUCACCUUGGAUACUGGCUUCUCAAAGCAUUCCUGUGGCGGUUAAUUGUUGCUUCUGGCUGGGUGGCUGGUGAUGCUGGUGACAAGGUGCAGAAUCUCAAGAGCCAGGAAAUUUAGAGGCUUGGAUCAGAUAGUGUGUAGCUAGGCAGCUGCUGCCAGCUAUGCUAAAACCAGGUAGUGAGGUGGGCUGUCAUUAACCUGAGGGUCUACAAGGCAGUCCCAGCAGAUCAGCUCACGGCGAAGAGACUGAGGGGAAAGGCCCCAGUUCAUGCU